Molecule: long non-coding RNA, 1228 nt
Organism: Papaver somniferum (opium poppy)
Lineage: Eukaryota; Viridiplantae; Streptophyta; Magnoliopsida; Ranunculales; Papaveraceae
Exons: 3
Source: RefSeq, a predicted model, not a curated record
UGCUGAAUUCUGAUUUCACCAACUGUCUUUUUGAGGCAAGCCAUUUGUUCAUUUCAACAACCCUUCCGUGUGAUCAUCAUCUUCAUUUCUUCUCUCAAGUGAAACAUUAAUUUAGAGAUUGAGAACUGUGAUUUCAUUCUCAUCUGAUCUCUAAUCAGAACUUGAAUGUUUGAAAUUUCUUCUAUUAUCUUCAUAAUAUAGCUGUCAGGUAGAUUCGAUCACGAAUUGAAGCAUUUUAUAUCCUCCAAAAUGAGCAAAAAGAAAAGGAAGAAGCAAAAUGGUGGUUUAGAUCCUGAUGAAUCGGUACGUGAGGAUUCGGAAAAACACCAGUUGUUUUGGCUUAAGAAAUUCUGUGGUCGGGGUGAUGUUAGAGUUGAUAAUAUUUUUCCACGCGAUGGAGAUGGUAAUGUUAGGCUUUCUCCUCAUAUAUGGAAGCAAACAAUGGAAUGAGGAAUGCGGUGGAGAAUGUGAGGGACGAGGCAAAACGGCGAGCCUUAACGGUACGAUUUUUCUUUUGGUUCAUGUUUUAGAAGUAUGAGUAUGAAAAACAUUUCGUUCUCGAUCUUAAAUUUCCAUUUCGCCUGGGGAUUUCUUUGUUUAUGUGCAUCCGAGUAGUCAACUAAACGCUAUGGAACGAACAAGUGAAAUGAGACAAGAGCAGAUGAUAGCAGAGAUCAGAAUGCCUUAGGUCUUAUAUGGUGCUUUUUUGAUUUUAAUUUACAGCGAAUUUUCUGUUUAAGUUAUCAAACGACAAAUUCUUCCUCUCCAUUUCUUUUAUCACUAAAUUUCUUCUCUUGUGAUUACUAUUACAAAUGCUUGAAUACAUAGCAGCUCUUAUGGUGCAUUAUUCCAAGUUCAAGGAGAUGUAGCUGAAAUACCAGCAAUGGCACGGAUCGUUAAGUUUCCAAUAGCUACUCGGUCACUCUUGCACUUGCAGCACGUCUAACACCAUGUGCAUAUUUCAUUGUAUCCUAAAUUCCUAAUUUUAUUUUCAACCACAAUGGACUUAUUCCUUUGUUGUUUUGUGUCUAAUACGAAACAUUUAGUACUUAACACACAUUUACCACAACCAUGGAAUUUGAUUGUUGCGGAGCUGACAAACUUCCAUUUCUUUGAACAAUAGUGUUAACUACUCAAGAUUGUAUAUGUAUUAGCUAGUGGUUGGUUUUAUUGCUAUGGUGUCAAAGUGAUAUCAAGAUUAAUCAAAAGAGCAUAUACAUUUUAUUUU